This 1354-nucleotide long non-coding RNA is filed under the name Marmota monax (woodchuck). The record is from RNAcentral. Lineage: Eukaryota; Metazoa; Chordata; Mammalia; Rodentia; Sciuridae.
GGAGUGCCUCUUGCAGUGUGGCUGGUUAUUACGAAGCCUCUCAAAUUUUAUGUUUCUCUAGGGGACCUAGGGGACCAGCAGCCCCACUUCCACAUUUUGUCGUUGGCUGGCCUGGCAGUCCUACCAGCACUAGCCAAGCUUCGGAUGAACUAAGGCGAGGACCCUCAAUGAUCUCACUUUUCCCAGUCUAGAAACUGCGACCGGGUGCCCCGGGGCUGGGGGACUUCCUGCCUCUGGGUCAGCUCGAACGGGUGGAUUACAGUCAGAGGUGCGCGUUUUCCUUGUCGUCAGCUCAAAGAUUUCCUCUGCUGCGCGACCCCACGAAAUGUCACAGCCUUUAUUUUAAAUUCAGGGUUAUACCAGCUGGUGAUUUUGCCACUGGAUAGUUGUGAUUGGUUUUCCCGGGGCGGUUCCGAUCGCAGGCAAGGGAGCUGAUCGACGGCUUCCACUCCGCCCUUCUGGUGACGUCACUCCUUGCAGUUUGUAAUUCUGCUCUGGUGCCUUUUCCAUUCCACUCCAAGCCCAGCUCAGAAGACAUUUCUCAGACAUUAUAUUACAGAAAUAAAAGAGCGAUGCGUGCCAAUAUAACAAAAAUCGAGUAAUGUCAAGUUAUAAGAAUUAAAGAGUGGGGUCGUUUCCUUUCUCCGCCAGAGGACUUUCUGUGCAUUAACAUGUGCACAUGUGCACACGUCUGUAUUGUACUUCAAUGGGCAUACCACCUAUAAAAGAAGUCCUUCACAAUAAAUAAAUAAUGCUCCGAGAGAACUGAGACUCCUCUCCGACGCUGGUUUUGCGUGGUAAGAAAUGAGGUGUGUAGAGAUAAUUACCUGCUGAUCCUGAAGGUCCGCGAUUCUUCUAAAAGACAGGCUAUCAACAUUUACACUGAAGGAGAAGAACGUGUAACAGCAAAUCCCACUACUUAAAGCUUCUUCGUUUAAACAACACACACACACACACACACACACCUCCAAGAAUAUUACAAUUUAUUUUACAAACAUUCUUUUCACUAACUUUCACUUUUUUCCCCAUUAGAGUGUGAGAGCUCCUUGCUCACAGGGGAACAGCAGGUUCUGUUUCUGUUACGAAGCUGAUCAAUGAACACUUUUUGAUUGAAUGACUGCCUGAGUGAAUCUUACUGAAGUUUCUAGGAUCAACAUUUUCCUGUUAUUGCUGCUUGUUUAAAAUAUUUUGCUUUUGUUAUUUUCUGAUUGUCAACCUCUGAGAGUAGUGGUAGGCGGGUCUUCCUUUGAUCUGACUUGAUAUCCAAACACAUAAUUAACUCGCUGCUUACUAGUUCACAGUGAUAUAUAACAUUUAUCAGCUUUUAAUUUACUGAAACGCAAACACGGGAUUG